RNAcentral lists this ribosomal RNA (497 nucleotides) under uncultured bacterium. RNAcentral's name for it is "partial 16S ribosomal RNA". It matches the Rfam family "Bacterial small subunit ribosomal RNA", at positions 28 to 507 of the family's 1533-position model. The record is from RNAcentral.
GAUGAACGCUGGCGGCGUGCCUAAUACAUGCAAGUCGAGCGAACAGAUGAGGAGCUUGCUCCUCUGACGUUAGCGGCGGACGGGUGAGUAACACGUGGAUAACCUACCUAUAAGACUGGGAUAACUUCGGGAAACCGGAGCUAAUACCGGAUAAUAUAUUGAACCGCAUGGUUCAAUAGUGAAAGACGGUUUUGCUGUCACUUAUAGAUGGAUCCGCGCCGCAUUAGCUAGUUGGUAAGGUAACGGCCUACCAAGGCAACGAUGCGUAGCCGACCUGAGAGGGUGAUAGGCCACACUGGAACUGAGCCACGGUCCAGACUCCUACGGGAGGCAGCAGUAGGGAAUCUUCCGCAAUGGGCGAAAGCCUGACGGAGCAACGCCGCGUGAGUGAUGAAGGUCUUCGGAUCGUAAAACUCUGUUAUUAGGGAAGAACAAAUGUGUAAGUAACUAUGCACGUCUUGACGGUACCUAAUCAGAAAGCCACGGCUAACUACGUG